Molecule: ribosomal RNA, 253 nt
Filed under: uncultured bacterium
Lineage: Bacteria
Description: partial 16S ribosomal RNA
Rfam family: Bacterial small subunit ribosomal RNA
Source: RNAcentral
UACGUAGGGGGCAAGCGUUGUCCGGAAUCAUUGGGCGUAAAGAGCGUGUAGGCGGCCCGAUAAGUCCGCCGUGAAAGUCCAGGGCUCAACCCUGGAAUGCCGGUGGAAACUGUCGGGCUGGAGUCCGGAAGAGGCGAGUGGAAUUCCUGGUGUAGCGGUGAAAUGCGCAGAUAUCAGGAGGAACACCGAUGGCGAAGGCAGCUCGCUGGGACGGUACUGACGCUGAGGCGCGAAAGCGUGGGGAGCAAACAGG